Molecule: ribosomal RNA, 210 nt
Filed under: uncultured bacterium
Lineage: Bacteria
Description: partial 16S ribosomal RNA
Rfam family: Bacterial small subunit ribosomal RNA
Source: RNAcentral
UACGUAGGGUGCAAGCGUUGCCCGGAUUUAUUGGGCGUAAAGGGCGCGUAGGCGGCUCUGCACGUCCGUUGUGAAAUCGCCCGGCUCAACUGGGCGGGGUCAGCGGAUACGGCAGAGCUUGAGCAAGCUAGGGGGCAAUGGAAUUCCCGGUGUAGGUGGUGGAAUGCGUAGAGAUCCGGAAGAACACCGGUGGCGAAGGCGGCCUGCUGG